AGUGGCGGACGGGUGAGUAACGCGUGAGCAUCUGCCUUGGGGUCGGGGACAACCACUGGAAACGGUGGCUAAUACCGGAUAAGCCGAUUGGUGAAAGAUUUAUUGCCCGAAGAGGAGCUCGCGUCUGAUUAGCUAGUUGGUGAGGUAAGAGCUCACCAAGGCAGCGAUCAGUAGCUGGUCUGAGAGGACGAUCAGCCACACUGGGACUGAGACACGGCCCAGACUCCUACGGGAGGCAGCAGUGGGGAAUUUUCCGCAAUGGGCGAAAGCCUGACGGAGCAAGACCGCGUGAGGGAGGAAGGCUCUUGGGUUGUAAACCUCUUUUCUCAGGGAAGAAGCUCUGACGGUACCUGAGGAAUCAGCCUCGGCUAACUCCGUGCCAGCAGCCGCGGUAAUACGGAGGAGGCAAGCGUUAUCCGGAAUUAUUGGGCGUAAAGCGUCCGCAGGUGGCGAUUCAAGUCUGCUGUCAAAGCACGGGGCUUAACUCCGUAAAGGCAGUGGAAACUGAAUAGCUAGAGUGCCGUAGGGGUAGAGGGAAUUCCCGGUGUAGCGGUGAAAUGCGUAGAGAUCGGGAAGAACAUCGGUGGCGAAAGCGCUCUACUGGACGGCAACUGACACUCAGGGACGAAAGCUAGGGGAGCGAAUGGGAUUAGAUACCCC
This 660-nucleotide ribosomal RNA is filed under the name uncultured bacterium. RNAcentral's name for it is "bacterial SSU rRNA". It matches the Rfam family "Bacterial small subunit ribosomal RNA", at positions 94 to 788 of the family's 1533-position model. The record is from RNAcentral.